UUGAUUUAAUUGUUCCUUUUGAUUUAAAAAUUCUGGAAAAUAGUUUCGAGCUUUGAAUUAUUUUUCUAAAAUAUGUUCGAGGCUCGUUAAUUGAUUUCAAAUGAUUUUGGGAUCCGAUCUUGAGCAAUCGGACUUGAUUAUUUAUUUAAAAAUGGAUUCUUUUACCUGUUUUAAUUCCGAAAAAUGUCUAGAAAUUCCAGAAAAUUCCUGAAAAAUCAUUUUUAACCUGAAACUUGAUUUGACAUCAAUUGGGAUGGGAAACCUUAUAUGAAAAAUGUUGUCUGCUAUCUGUUUGAUAUGUUAUGUGCCAAUAGGAGAGUUAGAAAACGGUUUUGCUUAUAACUUUUGAUCGGUAAUUCAGAAUGGAGUGAAACGAAAGAGAGAUGAAAGCUUAUAAAGUCUAUUUUAAUGUGACAUAAUAAUAUGGUGGAGUAUAGAAUGUGAAUAAUUGUUGUUAAAUGUAUAAAAUAUGAUUAUAUGUGAUCUAAUUGCUAUUAAUUGAUGAUUGCAUAGACUAUCUGGUUGUUCUAGUAUUACAUACAUGUGAUAAAUGAUUAAAUGACAUAGUGUCGUGUCUUGAUAGAUGUCGGAUAAAAGCAUAUGGAUUAUAGUGAUUGGAUUUGGUUGGUUGAUUGGUGAUUGAGAUAGGAUAACAGGUGGAUAGUCUAAUAAAUAGACGAGACGAUGUCGGAUUUUCGAUAAGAUUUAUAUGAUAUUUAAUUGAUAAUAUGUUAUGUGAAAUAUGAUUAGAUAUAUGGUAGAGUCAAAGCAUGAUUAUGUGUUAAGUGAGAUUUGAUGAGUUCAAAGAGUUAUAUAAGUGGGUAUCGAUAUACGUGAUAUGUGUAUGCGAUAGGUUAUGCUACCCAGUUGAUAAGUAGAGAUAAGAAUCAAUAGAUUAUUUAGUGAUAAUGGUAGUAUCUUAUUCUCGUAAAGGGUUUGGACGGGACGGAUAUGAUCGAAGACGUUCAGAAGGUCAAAUAAUGUUACAAAGCGAAUAAGGAACGAAUCGAGUAAACGAAGCAGUGUGGCGAAUAGAGUAUAGCCAAAGAUGGUCUAGAGACUAUGAUAUGCAUAGAGUGUGAAAGUGGAAAGAUGAGAUUGAGAUAUGAGACUGGAGUCGGAUUUAAGAAAAGCUUAGAGAUGAAUUGCUUGAUUGAGGUUGCGAGUAUGGCUAAGGCUAAGCGAGGAGUCAGAGUUAUAGAAUAUCCAGAGGACAAGUGGAAUGUCCAGGGAGAUUGUCAAGAUUGGUUCUAGAUAGAGUUGUGUUAUUGAGAUUCAGAUGUAAUCAUAAUUUGAAUAGAUUGGCAGUGCUUCUUCUCAUCGAAGAUGAUCUGAGAUUGUAAGACAUUGUUAAUUGAUAGUGGUUGAUUCUAAUUUCAAUACUGUAACCUGGAUGCGAUCCUGUUUUUAGGGGGUUAAAGUGUUUUCUUUUAAAUCUUUUACUAAA
Long non-coding RNA from Daucus carota subsp. sativus, 1447 nucleotides. RefSeq lists it as uncharacterized. The transcript is spliced from 2 exons. The record is from RefSeq and is a predicted model, not a curated record. NCBI's taxonomy places the organism in Eukaryota, Viridiplantae, Streptophyta, Magnoliopsida, Apiales, Apiaceae.